GUUCGAUUGAUAAUCAAGUCAAAUUUAAAUUUGAUUUUUUUUAUUUUUAUUUUUAUAUAUUUUUUUGUGAAGCUCAAUCAAUCUAAAGUCAAAUUUCAAAUCAAAAAAAUUUAAAUCGAGUCAAAUCUGAGCCUCUAACAACUCGACUUGGCCCGAUUGUAACCCCACUUGCCACUUCAAAUGAUGCUUUACCUGUUUCUUCAGGGCACUGGGGUGUCUUUGGCCCCACCGGGCCCUCAUUUCUUGUUCCAGUUACACUCAAGUAUUGUGAUGCAGAUGUCACUUACAUGAUCAUGAUGGCGUGUUGUGCGUGCAUGAUUAAUGCAUCGUUGCAGAUCCUUUACUUAAGUAUGUCUGUCAUACCCACUCCAUAGGUUAACCAUACCUUUGGGGGAGGGAACCAGCCAGCCGAUGGGCUAGGGAUUGAUGCUUCUUGAUGGAAAUAACCUUCCCCUCAACUACAAUAUCUAGAAUAUCUUGUGCAGGCUAAUGCCUUCUCAUAAACUAAUGAAUUUGAGGCUCACCUCCCUUUGAGGGUAAAACAG
RNAcentral lists this long non-coding RNA (545 nucleotides) under Elaeis guineensis (African oil palm). RNAcentral describes it as "long non-coding RNA (EGUI_LNC011361)". The record is from RNAcentral. Lineage: Eukaryota; Viridiplantae; Streptophyta; Magnoliopsida; Arecales; Arecaceae.